GGACCAGGGGAUUCCGACUGUUUAACUAAAACAAAGCAUCGCGAAUUCCCGAGGUUGGUGUUGAUGCAAUUUGUUUUCUGCUCAGUGCUCUGAAUGUCAAAGUGAAGAAAUUCAAUGAAGUGAGGGUAAACGGCAGGAGUAACUAUGACUUUCUUAAACAGUCCUUAGCCCAGGACAUUCACCAGGUGCACGAGGAGGCC
RNAcentral lists this non-coding RNA (200 nucleotides) under Salmo salar (Atlantic salmon). Its description in RNAcentral is "Eukaryotic large subunit ribosomal RNA". It matches the Rfam family "Eukaryotic large subunit ribosomal RNA", at positions 2121 to 2284 of the family's 3401-position model. Lineage: Eukaryota; Metazoa; Chordata; Actinopteri; Salmoniformes; Salmonidae. The record is from Rfam by way of RNAcentral.